AGUGGCAGACGGGUGAGUAAUGUAUAGGAAUCUACCUAGUAGUACGGAAUAAUUGUUGGAAACGGCAACUAAUACCGUAUACGCCCUACGGGGGAAAAAUUUAUUGCUAUUAGAUGAGCCUAUAUUAGAUUAGUUAGUUGGUGAGGUAAAGGCUUACCAAGACAAUGAUCUAUAGCUGACCUGAGAGGAUGAUCAGCCACACUGGAACUGAGAUACGGUCCAGACUCCUACGGGAGGCAGCAGUGGGGAAUAUUGGACAAUGGGCGAAAGCCUGAUCCAGCCAUGCCGCAUGAGUGAAGAAGGCCUUCGGGUUGUAAAGCUCUUUUAGUGAGGAAGAUAAUGACGGUACUCACAGAAGAAGUCCUGGCUAACUCUGUGCCAGCAGCCGCGGUAAUACGGAGAGGGCUAGCGUUAUUCGGAAUCAUUGGGCGUAAAGGGCGCGUAGGCGGGUUAAUAAGUUAAAAGUGAAAUCCCAAGGCUCAACCUUGGAACUGCUUUUAAAACUGCUAGUCUAGAGAUUGAAAGAGGAUAGAGGAAUUCCUAGUGUAGAGGUGAAAUUCGUAAAUAUUANGAGGAACACCAGUGGCGAA
Molecule: ribosomal RNA, 590 nt
Filed under: uncultured Wolbachia sp.
Lineage: Bacteria; Pseudomonadati; Pseudomonadota; Alphaproteobacteria; Rickettsiales; Anaplasmataceae
Description: bacterial SSU rRNA
Rfam family: Bacterial small subunit ribosomal RNA
Source: RNAcentral